GCGAUAGUGGUGCAGUUGGUAGCACACGACCUUGCCAAGGUUGAGCUCGCGGGUUCGAGUCCCGUCUAUCGCUCGA
Molecule: transfer RNA, 76 nt
Filed under: Lachnospiraceae bacterium G41
Lineage: Bacteria; Bacillati; Bacillota; Clostridia; Lachnospirales; Lachnospiraceae
Description: tRNA_Gly_GCC
Rfam family: tRNA
About the family: Transfer RNA (tRNA) molecules are approximately 80 nucleotides in length. Their secondary structure includes four short double-helical elements and three loops (D, anti-codon, and T loops).
Source: RNAcentral